AGAGACAGCAGCCGCCGCGGUAAUACGUAGGUCCCGAGCGUUGUCCGGAUUUAUUGGGCGUAAAGCGAGCGCAGGCGGUUAGAUAAGUCUGAAGUUAAAGGCUGUGGCUUAACCAUAGUACGCUUUGGAAACUGUUUAACUUGAGUGCAAGAGGGGAGAGUGGAAUUCCAUGUGUAGCGGUGAAAUGCGUAGAUAUAUGGAGGAACACCGGUGGCGAAAGCGGCUCUCUGGCUUGUAACUGACGCUGAGGCUCGAAAGCGUGGGGAGCAAACAGGAUUAGAUACCCGAGUAGUCCCUGUCUCUUAUACA
RNAcentral lists this ribosomal RNA (309 nucleotides) under uncultured bacterium. Its description in RNAcentral is "partial 16S ribosomal RNA". It matches the Rfam family "Bacterial small subunit ribosomal RNA", at positions 504 to 808 of the family's 1533-position model. The record is from RNAcentral.